GACGAACCGUACGAACGUUAUUCGGAAUUACUGGGCUUAAAGGGUGCGUAGGCGGCGCGGAAAGUUGGGUGUGAAAUCCCUCGGCUCAACCGAGGAAUUGCGCCCAAAACUUCCGUGCUCGAGGAAGAUAGAGGUGAGCGGAACUUAGGGUGGAGCGGUGAAAUGCGUUGAUAUCCUAAGGAACACCGGUGGCGAAAGCGGCUCACUGGAUCUUUUCUGACGCUGAGGCACGAAAGCUAGGGUAGCGAACGGG
RNAcentral lists this ribosomal RNA (253 nucleotides) under uncultured bacterium. RNAcentral's name for it is "partial 16S ribosomal RNA". It matches the Rfam family "Bacterial small subunit ribosomal RNA", at positions 524 to 776 of the family's 1533-position model. The record is from RNAcentral.